RNAcentral lists this ribosomal RNA (253 nucleotides) under uncultured bacterium. RNAcentral's name for it is "partial 16S ribosomal RNA". It matches the Rfam family "Bacterial small subunit ribosomal RNA", at positions 524 to 776 of the family's 1533-position model. The record is from RNAcentral.
GACGAACCGUGCGAACGUUGUUCGGAAUCACUGGGCUUAAAGGGCGCGUAGGCGGGCCGCCGCGUCCGGGGUGAAAUCCCCCCGCUCAACGGGGGAACGGCCUCGGAUACGGGCGGUCUGGAGGCGGGUAGGGGCACGCGGAACUGUGGGUGGAGCGGUGAAAUGCGUUGAGAUCCACAGGAACGCCGGUGGCGAAGGCGGCGUGCUGGACCCGAUCUGACGCUGAGGCGCGAAAACCAGGGGAGCGAACGGG